This 253-nucleotide ribosomal RNA is filed under the name uncultured bacterium. Its description in RNAcentral is "partial 16S ribosomal RNA". It matches the Rfam family "Bacterial small subunit ribosomal RNA", at positions 524 to 776 of the family's 1533-position model. The record is from RNAcentral.
UACGUAGGGUGCAAGCGUUAAUCGGAAUUACUGGGCGUAAAGCGUGCGCAGGCGGUUUUGUAAGUCUGUCGUGAAAGCCCCGGGCUCAACCUGGGAAUUGCGAUGGAGACUGCAUGGCUAGAGUACGGUAGAGGGGGAUGGAAUUCCGCGUGUAGCAGUGAAAUGCGUAGAUAUGCGGAGGAACACCGAUGGCGAAGGCAGCCCCCUGGGUCAAGAUUGACGCUCAUGCACGAAAGCGUGGGGAGCAAACAGG